AGUGAACGCUGGCGGUAGGCCUAACACAUGCAAGUCGAACGGCAGCACAGUAAGAGCUUGCUCUUACGGGUGGCGAGUGGCGGACGGGUGAGGAAUACAUCGGAAUCUACUUUUUCGUGGGGGAUAACGUAGGGAAACUUACGCUAAUACCGCAUACGACCUACGGGUGAAAGCAGGGGAUCUUCGGACCUUGCGCGAUUGAAUGAGCCGAUGUCGGAUUAGCUAGUUGGCGGGGUAAAGGCCCACCAAGGCGACGAUCCGUAGCUGGUCUGAGAGGAUGAUCAGCCACACUGGAACUGAGACACGGUCCAGACUCCUACGGGAGGCAGCAGUGGGGAAUAUUGGACAAUGGGCGCAAGCCUGAUCCAGCCAUACAGCGGGGGUGAAGAAGGCCUUCGGGUUGUAAAGCCCUUUUGUUGGGAAAGAAAAGCAGCAGGUUAAUACCCCGCUGUUCUGACGGUACCCAAAGAAUAAGCACCGGCUAACUUCGU
Molecule: ribosomal RNA, 491 nt
Filed under: uncultured bacterium
Lineage: Bacteria
Description: partial 16S ribosomal RNA
Rfam family: Bacterial small subunit ribosomal RNA
Source: RNAcentral